RNAcentral lists this ribosomal RNA (452 nucleotides) under uncultured bacterium. Its description in RNAcentral is "partial 16S ribosomal RNA". It matches the Rfam family "Bacterial small subunit ribosomal RNA", at positions 29 to 523 of the family's 1533-position model. The record is from RNAcentral.
AACGAACGCUGGCGGCAGGCCUAACACAUGCAAGUCGAGCGCCCGGAUUUAUCCGGGAGCGGCGCACGGGUGAGUAACGCGUGGGAACAUGCCCUGGAGUACGGAACAACCUGGGGAAACCUUGGCUAAUACCGUAUACGCCCUGAGGGGGAAAGAUUUAUCGCUUUGGGAUUGGCCCGCGUUGGAUUAGCUGGUUGGUGUGGUAACGGCGCACCAAGGCGACGAUCCAUAACUGGUCUGAGAGGAUGACCAGUCCACACUGGGACUGAGACACGGCCCAGACUCCUACGGGAGGCAGAAGUGGGGAAUAUUGGACAAUGGGCGAAAGCCUGAUCCAGCCAUGCCGCGUGAGUGAAGAAGGCCUUCGGGUUGUAAAGCUCUUUCAGCGGGGACGAUGAUGACGGUACCCGCAGAAGAAGCCCCGGCUAACUUCGUGCCAGCCGCCGCCGUAA